AAGCAACACCACAAGGCAGAAUGGAUUUAUUGCCCAAUGAUCAGCAUCUGCAAUCAGUGCCAGUUUAGAAGAAGAAGAACCCGCUGGGCGCCGGGGAGGUCUGAGAAGCUGAGGAGUUAGCACUUCCUUGGAAGUCUUUGGAAAGGGAAUGCUGUGAUGAAGGUGGAGUUUGGUAAAGAUUCAUCUGGCCACAGGCUGCAUCUACCCCAAAUGGACCUUGUGAACCUGAUCCUUCCCAGCUUCUUGCUGCCCUGGAAAGAUAACUGGAAGAGGACAGUGAAGGCCUUUCUUGUCAAGCAGAUCAGCAGUGCAAGCCUGAUGUUCCAGCCAUUUCCCUCCCAGGGAGAGGAAGGGGAACCAUGGUUUGUAACAUGUGCAUGGCAAGAAUGCUCCCACUACGGCCAAUUUCAGGCACCCGACGUGAUGUCACCAAACUGGGGAGAGACUGGCUCCAGAAAGGGCAGUAGCACAUGGCAGUUUGCCGCGCAAAGGGGGAUGGAAGAUGAGGCUACCCAGGAGAGUGAGUAAGCGCUCAGGCUUUGAGACAGACCUGACUUCAAAUCCAGAUCUGCCUCUUAUGAUGAUGACUGUAGCCUUGAUCCAAUUGCUUAAAUUGCUUAACCUCUUUAAGCAUUUUAUUUCAUAUAAGUAAAU
This 654-nucleotide long non-coding RNA is filed under the name Vulpes vulpes (red fox). RNAcentral describes it as "lncRNA (ENSVVUG00000008795.1)". Lineage: Eukaryota; Metazoa; Chordata; Mammalia; Carnivora; Canidae. The record is from RNAcentral.